Molecule: long non-coding RNA, 865 nt
Filed under: Homo sapiens (human)
Lineage: Eukaryota; Metazoa; Chordata; Mammalia; Primates; Hominidae
Description: small nucleolar RNA host gene 17, transcript variant 26 (SNHG17)
Source: RNAcentral
AGUCCUUCGCCGUCCCUCGCCGUCCUUCGCCAUCGCACGCCACCGCACCCCAUCUCUCGAAAUCUGCAGACAUCUUGAUUUUUCCCACGCUGUCUGUCAGGUCUCCGCCGCCACUCGACGCCAGGGCGCCGGGUGAGUCCACAGCAGGGCGCAUGGUCGGCUCCACUCUCACCAUCGGGGGAAACUGAGGCCCCGGGGAAGGCGGCCAGAGAGGUCAGGCCCUGUCCUUGGUGCAGUGUCUCGUCCUCUUUGCCGGAGUGAGCCCCCCAGGAUUCGCGUGUCCUCGGGAAAGACACUGGCAGGAGUGUCACAUGACUGCCGCCCCAUGUGUGUGAGAGGCGUCCUCUGGGAGAGCAUGGAUCCUGAGGUCCCAGGAUUGUCAGCUGACCUCUGUCCUGUGUGCCCAGUGGCCCCAGGUGACGUGUCUUCAAGAAGAGGCUGAGCUGCGGUGCUUGUAAGGUCUCAGCCUUAGAUCCAAGGACAGUCCAAGGAAGUCCUAAGACCAUGGAGUUGGUGAUCUGGGAUCUGGGUUUGCUGAUAUUUCUCACCGUGAAUCUCUUGGUGGUGUUUGUGGGCACGAGAGGGGCAGAGAAUGGAGAGUGAGGCUACCACAUGAAGCGUCACCAGAGCUGCUCCCUGCUGCCUGCUCAGAGCACCCCGGAUCCACUGUUCAAUCUGCACAAGAUUCGGGGUCCAGACAUGGGAGACUUCAGCUGCCUCAGAGGACCGUGGACAGGGAAGGCCAGCCUCGCAUCCCUCUGUCCAUGCCUGGAAUGACUUUAAUAACCAAGAGUUUUAUUUUUGAAUUUGUAGCUGUCGUUCACUUUUUACCCACCCAUUCAAUAAACCUUACAGAAUUGCUCCA